UACAGAGGUCCCAAGCGUUGUUCGGAUUUACUGGGUGUAAAGGGUGCGUAGGUGGCGGGGUAAGUCUGGUGUGAAAGCUCCGAGCUCAACUCGGAAAAGCAUUGGAAACUAUUCCGCUAGAGGGUCGGAGGGGAGACUGGAAUUCUCGGUGUAGCAGUGAAAUGCGUAGAUAUCGAGAGGAACAACAGUGGCGAAGGCGAGUCUCUGGACGACUUCUGACACUGAGGCACGAAAGCUAGGGGAGCAAACAGG
Molecule: ribosomal RNA, 252 nt
Filed under: uncultured bacterium
Lineage: Bacteria
Description: partial 16S ribosomal RNA
Rfam family: Bacterial small subunit ribosomal RNA
Source: RNAcentral